This 501-nucleotide ribosomal RNA is filed under the name uncultured bacterium. RNAcentral's name for it is "partial 16S ribosomal RNA". It matches the Rfam family "Bacterial small subunit ribosomal RNA", at positions 30 to 523 of the family's 1533-position model. The record is from RNAcentral.
AUUGAACGCUGGCGGCAGGCUUAACACAUGCAAGUCGAGCGGGGGAAGGUAGCUUGCUACCGGACCUAGCGGCGGACGGGUGAGUAAUGCUUAGGAAUCUGCCUAUUAGUGGGGGACAACAUCUCGAAAGGGAUGCUAAUACCGCAUACGUCCUACGGGAGAAAGCAGGGGAUCUUCGGACCUUGCGCUAAUAGAUGAGCCUAAGUCGGAUUAGCUAGUUGGUGGGGUAAAGGCCUACCAAGGCGACGAUCUGUAGCGGGUCUGAGAGGAUGAGCCGCCACACUGGGACUGGGACACGGCCCAGACUCCUACGGGAGGCAGCAGUGGGGAAUAUUGGACAAUGGGGGGAACCCUGAUCCAGCCAUGCCGCGUGUGUGAAGAAGGCCUUAUGGUUGUAAAGCACUUUAAGCGAGGAGGAGGCCACUUUAGUUAAUACCUAGAGAUAGUGGACGUUACUCGCAGAAUAAGCACCGGCUAACUCUGUGCCAGCCGCCGCCGUAA